UAUUUUAGUUUAAAAAAAAUAUUGGUUUGUGGAACCAACGAUCUAAAAAUCUUUUUUCA
This 59-nucleotide transfer RNA is filed under the name Cyrtophora moluccensis. RNAcentral describes it as "tRNA-His". Lineage: Eukaryota; Metazoa; Arthropoda; Arachnida; Araneae; Araneidae. The record is from RNAcentral.